AUUGAACGCUGGCGGCAGGCCUAACACAUGCAAGUCGAGCGGAUGAAGGGAGCUUGCUCCUGGAUUCAGCGGCGGACGGGUGAGUAAUGCCUAGGAAUCUGCCUGGUAGUGGGGGAUAACGUCCGGAAACGGGCGCUAAUACCGCAUACGUCCUGAGGGAGAAAGUGGGGGAUCUUCGGACCUCACGCUAUCAGAUGAGCCUAGGUCGGAUUAGCUAGUUGGUGGGGUAAAGGCCUACCAAGGCGACGAUCCGUAACUGGUCUGAGAGGAUGAUCAGUCGCACUGGAACUGAGACACGGUCCAGACUCCUACGGGAGGCAGCAGUGGGGAAUAUUGGACAAUGGGCGAAAGCCUGAUCCAGCCAUGCCGCGUGUGUGAAGAAGGUCUUCGGAUUGUAAAGCACUUUAAGUUGGGAGGAAGGGCAGUAAGUUAAUACCUUGCUGCUUUGACGUUACCAACAGAAUAAGCACCGGCUAACUUCGUG
This 484-nucleotide ribosomal RNA is filed under the name uncultured bacterium. RNAcentral describes it as "partial 16S ribosomal RNA". It matches the Rfam family "Bacterial small subunit ribosomal RNA", at positions 30 to 507 of the family's 1533-position model. The record is from RNAcentral.